Molecule: ribosomal RNA, 253 nt
Filed under: uncultured bacterium
Lineage: Bacteria
Description: partial 16S ribosomal RNA
Rfam family: Bacterial small subunit ribosomal RNA
Source: RNAcentral
UACGUAGGGGGCAAGCGUUGUCCGGAUUUAUUGGGCGUAAAGAGCGUGUAGGCGGCCUUACAGGUCAGCUGUGAAAACUCGAGGCUCAACCUCGAGACGUCGGUUGAAACCGUAAGGCUAGAGUCCGGAAGAGGAGAGUGGAAUUCCCGGUGUAGCGGUGAAAUGCGUAGAUAUUGGGAGGAACACCAGUGGCGAAGGCGGCUCACUGGACCGGUACUGACGCUGAUGCGCGAAAGCGUGGGGAGCAAACGGG